GACGAACGCUGGCGGCGUGCUUAACACAUGCAAGUCGAACGGAAAGGCCCUGCUUUUGUGGGGUGCUCGAGUGGCGAACGGGUGAGUAACACGUGAGUAACCUGCCCUUGAUUUUGGGAUAACUUCAGGAAACUGGGGCUACUACCGGAUAGGAGCUCCUGCUGCAUGGAGGGGGUUGGAAAGUUUCGGCGGUUGGGGAUGGAUUCGCGGCUUAUCAGCUUGUUGGUGGGGUAGUGGCUUACCAAGGGUUUGACGGGUAGCCGGCCUGAGAGGGUGACCGGCCACAAUGGGACUGAGAUACGGACCAGACUCCUACGGGAGGCAGCAGUGGGAAAUAUUGCACAAUGGGCGGAAGCCUGAUGCAGCAACGCCGCGGGCGUGAUGACGGCCUUCGGGUUGUAAACCGCUUUCGCCUGUGACGAAGCGUGAGUGACGGUAAUGAGUAAAUAAGCACCGGCUAACUUCGUG
This 468-nucleotide ribosomal RNA is filed under the name uncultured bacterium. RNAcentral's name for it is "partial 16S ribosomal RNA". It matches the Rfam family "Bacterial small subunit ribosomal RNA", at positions 28 to 507 of the family's 1533-position model. The record is from RNAcentral.